CCUACGGGAGGCAGCAGUGGGGAAUAUUGCACAAUGGGGGAAACUCUGAUGCAGCGACGCCGCGUGAGUGAAGAAGUAUUUCGGUAUGUAAAGCUCUAUCAGCAGGGAAGAAAAUGACGGUACCUGAUUAAGAAGCACCGGCUAACUACGUGCCAGCAGCCGCGGUAAUACGUAGGGGGCAAGCGUUAUCCGGAUUUACUGGGUGUAAAGGGAGCGUAGACGGCAGCACAAGUCUGGAGUGAAAUGCCGGGGCUUAACCCCGGAACUGCUUUGGAAACUGUGCAGCUAGAGUGCAGGAGAGGUAAGUGGAAUUCCUAGUGUAGCGGUGAAAUGCGUAGAUAUUAGGAGGAACACCAGUGGCGAAGGCGGCUAACUGGACUGCAACUGACGCUGAGGCACGAAAGUGUGGGGAGCAAACAGGAUUAGAUACCCGAGUAGUC
This 440-nucleotide ribosomal RNA is filed under the name uncultured bacterium. Its description in RNAcentral is "partial 16S ribosomal RNA". It matches the Rfam family "Bacterial small subunit ribosomal RNA", at positions 338 to 795 of the family's 1533-position model. The record is from RNAcentral.